GCAAUUUACGUAAGAGAGGGUGGAGGCAGCGCCACAUUCCAACGUGCGCUCAAGCGAGUUGGAACGCGUCCGAGGAAUGACUGGCAUUAGGAAUGACUGGAUAAAAUGUGCUGUGGAGAAAAGCUCCUACCGACAAGCAGGUUGUCCAGUAAGCCUCGGUGAGUGUUAAGUGCCUGCUUAACCUCAGCUCAGCCCGAGCAAACUGCAGAGCUUCAAGUUAGCGUGCAUCCAGUGAAGACUCAAUCACAUAGAAGUUGGCGUCAACUCUGUGAAUAUGUGAUUCCAAGAUCAUCAGUACAAACAACUAUAUGUGAGUACAAGUUAUUGAGAUGUGUCACCACUUUGCCAAGGCCUAGAAGAAGCCCCGAACUGUCACCCUCAGUGACAGGAAACUGGUUAGGAUGUUCAGGAAUAAUCCAAGAACCACCAAGGCUCAAGCCUACUGCGAACUGGAAACUGCAGAAACACCAGUGUCACUGUCCACAGUGAAGCAUCACCAUGGACUGAGAAGGUGCUUACCAAGAAGGAAGCCCCUGCUCCAAAAUCAACAUCUUCAAGCUCAACUUAAAUUUGCCCACAUGGACAAACCAAAUACCUUCAGAAGAAAGAUUUGAUGGUUGAGAUGGUCAAUGGACAAGAUAAAGCUUAAGCUAUUCUCUAAAGUUGUAAAGAGUAAAGUUGAGGCUCUCAAACCAAACAACACGGUCCAGCGGUUAAGGAUGAUGGUGGCAGCGUCAUGCUUCGGGCUGUUUCAAAUUCUUCAACUUCACCUCAAAUCAACAGCUAAACGGUUGAAACGUGGACACAAUUGGAUGUCUUAACAGGAAAAAUCAUAUCAAGCACAUAACAGUUUUUCGAAUGGAUAAAGCUAUAAUAAAUAUAGGAAAAUAUGGAUAAAUAUAGAAAAAAACAAGAGAUAAUUAUUUUUUUAUUCAAUUCAGUUUUAUUUAUAUAGUGCAACAUUGAAACAAUAGUUGCCUCAAGGUGUUUAUCUUCCACAGGACACAAAUUAUAGGUGCUCUGACACACCUGACCCAUUGCAUUACAACCAGUCACUAACAGAGUAACCCUUAUUUGGAAUUUAAUGUGGUGGGAAUUUAGGUUUUAAACUCCAACUUGAUUGCUUUCCUCUAACACAUUUUCACAGUAUACACACUCAUUUUACUAUAAAAUCUAAGCUCUUCUUUGAUGUAAAAUUUUAUUGCACAUAUAAGUAA
Long non-coding RNA from Oreochromis niloticus (Nile tilapia), 1217 nucleotides. RefSeq lists it as uncharacterized. The transcript is spliced from 2 exons. The record is from RefSeq and is a predicted model, not a curated record. NCBI's taxonomy places the organism in Eukaryota, Metazoa, Chordata, Actinopteri, Cichliformes, Cichlidae.